This 501-nucleotide ribosomal RNA is filed under the name uncultured bacterium. Its description in RNAcentral is "bacterial SSU rRNA". It matches the Rfam family "Bacterial small subunit ribosomal RNA", at positions 30 to 523 of the family's 1533-position model. The record is from RNAcentral.
AUUGAACGCUGGCGGCAGGCCUAACACAUGCAAGUCGAGCGGUAACAGAGGAGCUUGCUCCUGCUGACGAGCGGCGGACGGGUGAGUAACGCGUGGGAAUCUGCCUAUUGGUGGGGGAUAGCCCGGAGAAAUCCGGAUUAAUACCGCAUAGUACCUAAGGGUUAAAGCAGGGGAUCUUCGGACCUUGCGCCAAUAGAUGAGCCCGCGUCAGAUUAGUUUGUUGGUGAGGUAAUGGCUCACCAAGACUGCGAUCUGUAGCUGGCCUGAGAGGGUGGUCAGUCACACUGGAACUGAGACACGGUCCAGACUCCUACGGAGCAGCAGUGGGGAAUAUUGGGCAAUGGGCGCAAGCCUGACCCAGGCCAUGCCGCGUGUGUGAAGAAGGCUUUCGGGUUGUAAAGCACUUUAAGUUGGGAGGAAGGUGCGACGGUUAAUACCCGUUGUAAUUGACGUUACCAACAGAAUAAGCACCGGCUAAUUCCGUGCCAGCCGCCGCGGUAA